This is a long non-coding RNA of Phyllostomus hastatus (greater spear-nosed bat), 1884 nucleotides long. RefSeq lists it as uncharacterized. The record is from RefSeq and is a predicted model, not a curated record. The transcript is spliced from 9 exons. NCBI's taxonomy places the organism in Eukaryota, Metazoa, Chordata, Mammalia, Chiroptera, Phyllostomidae.
GCGCCGAAAGGUUCCAGCUGGAUCCCUAAUCAGCGGGACCCCGAAUCUGGGCCUCUUCCUUCGCCUGCCCGGUUCCGCAUUGGCCGCCCUGCCUGGGGUGACACGUUGAUGGCAGAGCUGGCCCUGAGGUUGUGUCCUAAAGCUGUCCUGUCUGGUGCAGCAGAGCAAGGAAAGCAACUUGCAGGGUCAGAGACCAGGCCCAGUGGACAGGGCAUGUGGACAGAGGCACUGGCUGUGGUGGGGGGACAGAGCCCCAGGGGCAACACUGCGAUAGCAAUAGCACAACCAGCCCCCGGAUCCCGGCUUCUAGACGUGAUUCUCCACCGAACGUUGGUUGCAGUGCUGCAGGAGGGAAAGGACCGAUGAAUCCGGCUCAAUGUGUGCUGCCAGUAAAGGGUUCAAGACCGAAAUGGCAAGGCCAGGGAACCUCAUCAUGUGGCUUCUUUCACUGCUGGUAUUUCCAUCAAGUCCAGUUCUCCCAGGUCAGACUGUGAAGAUGCGCAUCAGGUAUCGCGAUGCCAGAGGGUAAAACAUUGUUUGGAGAUCGUCAUCAGGUGGAACAGCCAUCAGUGCUCUGAAAGCAGGAGAUGGAGCUGCAGUGCAGUAGAGAGGAGCUGUGGGGAAGCAGAGAGGUCCAGGUGGAAGGGCAGCGAAGUCCGCAGAAUCCGAUGCUGUGUACCCAGGAGGUGACUGUGCAGUUCGUCUGAAGUGAAAAUGAAUUCUGCAUUCUGGCCGUGUGUUUCUCGGUGGUCCCCAGAGCUGUAUUGCCGCAAAAAUGUAUGCUGUCUACACAUAGAAUGGCUUGAGAAUCUGAACGGGUGAUCUCAUCUGAGAGUCUGGGAGCUGCCCAGACCCUGCCAGGUCUGGCGCGCAGCCCCAGGGAGAAGACCCCUCAUUGAGCAAGACUUCCAUCCCGGUUCACGAGGUGGGACGGCAGAGUACAGAGAAGUUGGGGACCGUGCCCAGCUGGCAGAGGUCCGAAAGUGAGAGAGAGCCUCCCUCCAGCAGCCACACCAGGGAAGGGCAGGCCUGUGUCGUGAAAGGACAAGGAGCCUGGCAUCGCCUAGGGAGGCGAGGACCGCUUUGAGGACGCCUGGAGCAGACCCUGCUCACCACAGUGACAACCCGCAUGAGCUCCUCCUCUCUAGUCUGCUGGCUCCUUGAGCAGAGUGUCCUCCUAGGUGUCCCGUGUGAGAAUGGGAUGGACCCUCCUUGAUGUGGAGCUGCUCUUCACUUCCGCACUCACCUCCCUUCCCUGAGAUGUCCGACCUCUGCCAGCCUCUGCUUCUGAAGGUCCUUCCCCCGGGACUGGGACAGACACUCUUUUCUGUGCCGUGUCUUUCGUGUGGACUCCUGGUCCCAUAGUCUGCCCAGGUCAAUGGGGCCUACUGUAGGAAGUUGCCGUGCUGAAAGAAGGGACAAUAUGGUGUCACAAGACCCUUCCUGCUUUCCAGAAGGGAGGAAGAACAGAGGGCUAGACAAUGGAGUGGGAAACAGAGCCAGAGCUGCCAUAGCAGUUGCCCAGGAUGAGCCUAGGAAAGGGAUGGUGCCAUCAGGCGAUAGGGAUUUGUUGUUGGUGGCCUCCAGUAGGCCAGUGCAAGGGCAUGCUGGGCACAAAGCCCUACUGAAGGGGACUGAGGAGCAAAUGCUAUGCAGAGAGGUUGGAGAAAUUUCGAACUGAAACCCAUGCAUUCAUGUGCCAGUAGCUGCAGACUCCCAUGUGGGAUGGGGGUCCAAUCCGCAGAGAUACCUGCCAUUGCUACCAAGAUACCAAGGAGGGAGGGACCCAGUUUUCUGUAGGGACCCCAAAGAAUGGAGCAGUUCAACCACAGUAAGGCACCGCCCGAUAGCUCCCCUGCCCAGACAGUGGACGCAGUACCCAGA